UACGUAGGGGGCAAGCGUUAUCCGGAUUUACUGGGUGUAAAAGGGGCGCAGACGGCGAUGCAAGCCAGGAGUGAAAGCCCGGGGCCCAACCCCGGGACUGCUCUUGGAACUGCGUGGCUGGAGUGCAGGAGGGGCAGGCGGAAUUCCUGGUGUAGCGGUGAAAUGCGUGGAUAUCAGGAGGAACACCGGUGGCGAAGGCGGCCUGCUGGACUGCAACUGACGUUGAGGCCCGAAAGCGUGGGGAGCAAACAGG
Molecule: ribosomal RNA, 253 nt
Filed under: uncultured bacterium
Lineage: Bacteria
Description: partial 16S ribosomal RNA
Rfam family: Bacterial small subunit ribosomal RNA
Source: RNAcentral